AACCUCAAACCUUUAACAAUGUGGUGGUGAAUUCUCAGCCUGCCGUGAUAGGCGUAUCUCCUCUUCGUGCGACCUACAAGGAUUACUUCGGAUUGUCCAUCUUCACUCUUAUCUGCUGCUGCUUGCCCCUUGGGAUCGCCGCUCUGGUUUAUUCUUGCAAGACUCGAGAUUCCUUGACACGCGGGGACAUGGUUUCUGCUUCCAGUGAGUCGCGGACCACGUUUAUUUUGAACAUGGUAGCCCUGGGAGUAGGAAUUGCUGUGAACAUCAUUUGGAUAGCGCUCGUUAGUUACUACACAUCAAUCGUCUACACUUAUUCCAAUUAAAACUAUUAUGGCUAACGCUUAUCCCUGCAUCCUCAUCCCAAAUAAAUCAUAAAAAAUAUCAGAUGCUGAAAACUGUGUGUUUGCUGUACAUUCUUCCUGAUUUGUUUUCACUUUUUUUUCUUAUAUGUCAAGAGAUUGCUAUAAUUUAGCGUUUUGUUUGCGCAUCACAUUAUAAUAAAUCUCUUUUGUUAUU
Molecule: long non-coding RNA, 519 nt
Organism: Spea bombifrons (plains spadefoot toad)
Lineage: Eukaryota; Metazoa; Chordata; Amphibia; Anura; Pelobatidae
Exons: 2
Source: RefSeq, a predicted model, not a curated record